RNAcentral lists this ribosomal RNA (1554 nucleotides) under Staphylococcus aureus. Its description in RNAcentral is "16S ribosomal RNA". It matches the Rfam family "Bacterial small subunit ribosomal RNA". The record is from RNAcentral. Lineage: Bacteria; Bacillati; Bacillota; Bacilli; Caryophanales; Staphylococcaceae.
UUUAUGGAGAGUUUGAUCCUGGCUCAGGAUGAACGCUGGCGGCGUGCCUAAUACAUGCAAGUCGAGCGAACGGACGAGAAGCUUGCUUCUCUGAUGUUAGCGGCGGACGGGUGAGUAACACGUGGAUAACCUACCUAUAAGACUGGGAUAACUUCGGGAAACCGUAGCUAAUACCGGAUAAUAUUUUGAACCGCAUGGUUCAAAAGUGAAAGACGGUCUUGCUGUCACUUAUAGAUGGAUCCGCGCUGCAUUAGCUAGUUGGUAAGGUAACGGCUUACCAAGGCAACGAUGCAUAGCCGACCUGAGAGGGUGAUCGGCCACACUGGAACUGAGACACGGUCCAGACUCCUACGGGAGGCAGCAGUAGGGAAUCUUCCGCAAUGGGCGAAAGCCUGACGGAGCAACGCCGCGUGAGUGAUGAAGGUCUUCGGAUCGUAAAACUCUGUUAUUAGGGAAGAACAUAUGUGUAAGUAACUGUGCACAUCUUGACGGUACCUAAUCAGAAAGCCACGGCUAACUACGUGCCAGCAGCCGCGGUAAUACGUAGGUGGCAAGCGUUAUCCGGAAUUAUUGGGCGUAAAGCGCGCGUAGGCGGUUUUUUAAGUCUGAUGUGAAAGCCCACGGCUCAACCGUGGAGGGUCAUUGGAAACUGGAAAACUUGAGUGCAGAAGAGGAAAGUGGAAUUCCAUGUGUAGCGGUGAAAUGCGCAGAGAUAUGGAGGAACACCAGUGGCGAAGGCGACUUUCUGGUCUGUAACUGACGCUGAUGUGCGAAAGCGUGGGGAUCAAACAGGAUUAGAUACCCUGGUAGUCCACGCCGUAAACGAUGAGUGCUAAGUGUUAGGGGGUUUCCGCCCCUUAGUGCUGCAGCUAACGCAUUAAGCACUCCGCCUGGGGAGUACGACCGCAAGGUUGAAACUCAAAGGAAUUGACGGGGGCCCGCACAAGCGGUGGAGCAUGUGGUUUAAUUCGAAGCAACGCGAAGAACCUUACCAAAUCUUGACAUCCUUUGACAACUCUAGAGAUAGAGCCUUCCCCUUCGGGGGACAAAGUGACAGGUGGUGCAUGGUUGUCGUCAGCUCGUGUCGUGAGAUGUUGGGUUAAGUCCCGCAACGAGCGCAACCCUUAAGCUUAGUUGCCAUCAUUAAGUUGGGCACUCUAAGUUGACUGCCGGUGACAAACCGGAGGAAGGUGGGGAUGACGUCAAAUCAUCAUGCCCCUUAUGAUUUGGGCUACACACGUGCUACAAUGGACAAUACAAAGGGCAGCGAAACCGCGAGGUCAAGCAAAUCCCAUAAAGUUGUUCUCAGUUCGGAUUGUAGUCUGCAACUCGACUACAUGAAGCUGGAAUCGCUAGUAAUCGUAGAUCAGCAUGCUACGGUGAAUACGUUCCCGGGUCUUGUACACACCGCCCGUCACACCACGAGAGUUUGUAACACCCGAAGCCGGUGGAGUAACCUUUUAGGAGCUAGCCGUCGAAGGUGGGACAAAUGAUUGGGGUGAAGUCGUAACAAGGUAGCCGUAUCGGAAGGUGCGGCUGGAUCACCUCCUUUCU